GUGGGGAAUCUUAGACAAUGGGGGAAACCCUGAUCUAGCCAUGCCGCGUGAGCGAUGAAGGCCUUAGGGUUGUAAAGCUCUUUCAGCUGGGAAGAUAAUGACGGUACCAGCAGAAGAAGCCCCGGCUAACUCCGUGCCAGCAGCCGCGGUAAUACGGAGGGGGCUAGCGUUGUUCGGAAUUACUGGGCGUAAAGCGCGCGUAGGCGGACCAGAAAGUUGGAGGUGAAAUCCCAGGGCUCAACCUUGGAACUGCCUUCAAAACUGCUGGUCUGGAGUUCGAGAGAGGUGAGUGGAAUUCCGAGUGUAGAGGUGAAAUUCGUAGAUAUUCGGAGGAACACCAGUGGCGAAGGCGACUCACUGGCCCAAUACUGACGCUGAGGCGCGAAAGCGUGGGGAGCAAACAGGAUUAGAAACCCCUGUAGUCC
Molecule: ribosomal RNA, 425 nt
Filed under: uncultured bacterium
Lineage: Bacteria
Description: partial 16S ribosomal RNA
Rfam family: Bacterial small subunit ribosomal RNA
Source: RNAcentral